This 468-nucleotide ribosomal RNA is filed under the name uncultured bacterium. RNAcentral describes it as "partial 16S ribosomal RNA". It matches the Rfam family "Bacterial small subunit ribosomal RNA", at positions 28 to 507 of the family's 1533-position model. The record is from RNAcentral.
GACGAACGCUGGCGGCGUGCUUAACACGUGCAAGUCGAACGGAAAGGCCCUGCUUUUGUGGGGUGCUCGAGUGGCGAACGGGUGAGUAACACGUGAGUAACCUGCCCUUGACUUUGGGAUAACUUCAGGAAACUGGGGCUAAUACCGGAUAGGAGCUCCUGCUGCAUGGUGGGGGUUGGAAAGUUUCGGCGGUUGGGGAUGGACUCGCGGCUUAUCAGCUUGUUGGUGAGGUAGUGGCUUACCAAGGCUUUGACGGGUAGCCGGCCUGAGAGGGCGACCGGCCACAUUGGGACUGAGAUACGGCCCAGACUCCUACGGGAGGCAGCAGUGGGGAAUAUUGCACAAUGGGCGGAAGCCUGAUGCAGCAACGCCGCGUGCGGGAUGACGGCCUUCGGGUUGUAAACCGCUUUCGCCUGUGACGAAGCGUGAGUGACGGUAAUGGGUAAAGAAGCUCCGGCUAACUACGUG